RNAcentral lists this ribosomal RNA (3136 nucleotides) under Themira biloba. RNAcentral describes it as "eukaryotic LSU rRNA". It matches the Rfam family "Eukaryotic large subunit ribosomal RNA", at positions 1 to 2519 of the family's 3401-position model. The record is from RNAcentral. Lineage: Eukaryota; Metazoa; Arthropoda; Insecta; Diptera; Sepsidae.
AAUAUUGGUAAAACAAAACAUAUAUAUUGUAAAAAUAUUGAAAAUGAAUUUUUUGAGAAAAUUAAUUAAAUUUUUGAAAUAAUGACAAAAGUUUUGAUGGCGUUUAAAAGAUACCAUCAGAAAAAAUGAAAAAAAAAAAUUUAUACAACCUCAACUCAUAUGGGACUACCCCCUGAAUUUAAGCAUAUUAAUGAGGGGAGGAAAAGAAACUAACAAGGAUUUUCUUAGUAGCGGCGAGCGAAAAGAAAUCAGUUCAGCACUAAGUCACUUUGUCAUAUGGCAAAUGUGAGAUGCAGUGUAUGGAAUGUCUAUAUGACUAGUAAUGAUAAAUUAACGAUUUAAGUCCUUCUUAAAUGAGGCAUUUACCCAUAGAGGGUGCCAGGCCCGUAUAACGUUAAUGAUUACUAGAAGAUAUUUCCAAAGAGUCGUGUUGCUUGAUAGUGCAGCACUAAGUGGGUGGUAAACUCCAUCUAAAACUAAAUAUAACCAUGAGACCGAUAGUAAACAAGUACCGUAGGAGGGAAAGUUGAAAAGAAACUCUGAAUAGAGAGUUAAAUAGUACGUGAAACUGCUUAGAGGUUAAGCCCGAUGAACCUGAAUAUCCAUUAUGGAAAAUUCAACAUUAUAAUUGUAAAUAUUUAAACAUUUACGAUAAUGGUGUGCUAUUUUUUCCAUAUAAGGACUUUGUAAUCUAUUAACAUAAUAUAUAUUUAUCAAAAGAUCAUUUACCGUUAAGUUUAUACAAAUUAUUAUGCUUGCAUUUUAACAUUGUAUAAAUGGUUGAAUGAUUUGAUAAAGUGUUGAUAGAUUUAUUAUAUAUAGUGUUUAAAUUAUAUUUAUAUAAUUUUACAAUGGUAUGUUAAUCAAUGAUUUUCAUACUUUAAUUGUAUAUCACUUAUAUGAUUAACAAUGCGAAAGAUUCAGGAUACCUUCGGGACCCGUCUUGAAACACGGACCAAGGAGUCUAACAUAUGUGCAAGUAAUUGGGAAUUAAAAAACCUAAUUGCGUAAUAAAAUAACUUUUUAUUAAUGGGUAUUAAUUUUAUUAAAAUUAUUUUAUAUAAUUUUUUAUAAAAAUUUAUUUUUAUAUUAAUACAAUCCCGGGGCGGUUCUAUAUAGUUAUGUAUAAUGAUAUUUAUAUUAUUUAUACCUCUAACUGGAGCGUACCUUGAGCAUAUAUGCUGGACCCGAAAGAUGGUGAACUAUACUUGAUCAGGUUGAAGUCAGGGGAAACCCUGAUGGAAGACCGAAACAGUUCUGACGCAAAUCGAUUGUCAGAAUUUGAGUAUAGGGGCGAAAGUCCAAUCGAACCAUCUAGUAGCUGGUUCCUCCGAAGUUUCCCUCAGGAUAGCUGGUGCAUUUAAAUAUUAAAUAAAAUAAUCUUAUCUGGUAAAGCGAAGAUUAGAGGCCUUAGGUCACCACACCACUCGUGGCCUUAAGGGUCGAAACGACUUAACCUAUUCUCAAACUUUAAAGUGGGUAAGAACCUCAACUUACUUGAUAUGAAGGUUGUGGUUAUGAUAUAAUGUGCCCAGUGGGCCACUUUUGGUAAGCAAACUGGCGCUGUGGGAUGAACCAAACGUAAUGUUACGGUGCCCAAAAUUAACAACUCAUCAGAUACCACAAAUUAACAACUCAUGCAGAUACCAUUAAAGGCGUUGUUGCUUAAACAGCAGGACGGUGGACAUGGAAGUCGUAAUCCGCUAAGGAGUGUGUAACAACUCACCUGCCGAAGCAACUAGCCCUUAAAAUGGAUGGCGCUUAAGUUGUAUACCUAUACAAUUACCGCUAAAGUAAUGGAUUUAUAUUCAAUUUCGGUUGUAAUUAUAAAACUUUAGUGAGUAGGAGGGUACAAUGGUGUGCACAGAAGUGUUUGGCGUAAGCCUCAUGGAGCCGCCAUUGGACAGAUCUUGUGGUAGUAGCAAAUAAAUCGAAUGAGACCUUGGAGGACUGAAGUGGAGAAGGGUUUCGUGUGAACAGUGGUUGAUCACGAGUUAGUCGGUCCUAAGUUUAAGGCGAAAGACCGAAAAAUUUUCAUGUUUAUUAUGAUAAUAAAAUAAUAUUAUUAUUGUAAAUUAACGAACAUGAUUAUUUUUGAACGAAAGGGAAUACGGUUCCAAUUCCGUAACCUGUUGAGUAUCCGUUUGUUAUUAAAUAUGGGCCUUGUGCUCAUCCUGGCAACAGGAACGACCAUAAAGAAGCCGUCGAGAGGUAUCGGAAGAGUUUUCUUUUCUGUUUUAUAGUCGUACUACCAUGGAAGUCUUUCGAAGAGAGAUAUGGUAGAUGGGCUAGAAGAGCAUGACAUUUACUGUUGUGUCGAUAUUUUCUCCUCGGACCUUGUAAAUUUAUGGUGGGGUCACGCAAACUUCUCAAACAGGCCGUACCGAUAUCCGCAGCUGGUACUCCAAGGUGUAAGAGUCUAGUCGAUAGAAUAACGUAGGUAAGGGAAGUCGUCAAAUUAGAUCCGUAACUUCGGGAUAAGGAUUGGCUCUGAAGAUUGAGAGUAGUCGGGCUUGAUUGGAAGCAAUAUCAUGGUUUAUAUACUCAUUCUGGGUAAAUAGAGAUUCUUGAAUCUUGUUCCCCGGAUAGUAGUUAUGUAGCCUAUUGUGGAAAUUCUAGCUAAUAUUAAUUUGAGUGUUGAAUUGAUGAGUGUUGAAUUGAAAAUUUUUCAUCUAUUUUAAUUAUAACGAUUUCAAUUAACAAUCAAAUUCAGAACUGGCACGGACUUGGGGAAUCCGACCACUGUCUAAUUAAACAAAGCAUUGUGAUUGGCCCUAACGGGUGUUGACCAUGUGAUUUCUGCCCAGUGCUCUGAAUGUAAAGUGAAGAAAAUUACAAGUAAGCGCGGGUAAACGGCGGGAGUAACUAACUAUGACUCUCUAAGGUAGCCAAAUUGCCUCGUCACCUAAUUAGUGACGCGCAUGAAUGGAUUAACGAGAUUCCCUCUGUCCCUAUCUACUAUCUAGCCCAAGGGAACGGGCUUGGAAUAAAUUAGCGGGGAAUGAAGACCCUGUUGAGCUUGACUCUAGUCUGGCAUGUAAGGAGACAUAAGGGUGUAGCAUAAGUGGAGAAUGUAAUAAUUCGGUUUACAUCAACUAAUGAAACAAAAGCUCGGCCUAUUUUAAAGAGUUUUUUA